RNAcentral lists this long non-coding RNA (1270 nucleotides) under Marmota monax (woodchuck). The record is from RNAcentral. Lineage: Eukaryota; Metazoa; Chordata; Mammalia; Rodentia; Sciuridae.
UUUAUAUGAAGAGGGAGUGUGUGUGUGUGUGUGUGUGUGUGUGUUUGAGUGUGUGUGAGUGUGUGUGUGUGUUUGGGGAGGGGGCUGUCUCCAUUUCUUUUGUGUCUCAAUGGAUGUGACUUUGCGGGGGGAUGGGAUGUUGGCCUUUUCUCCAAAAGGCUCUAAGCCAGGACCAUCUGGAGUUGACCCAGAUUGGACUCACGGGUCCCGAGAUCAUUACUGAGCCUGAGAGCAGUGAGGUCCAGGCCCCGUGUCCCAGCCCCUGCCCACCAGCUGCCCCACAGAGACAUCAGUGAAAAUAGCCAAGGGGCUCAGGGUUCACUCAUUGGGUCCCAGCUUGGAUUGGGGGCUGGACUCCAAAUUAGCAUGUAAGUCAAAGAUGCACAAAGUUGAGAUCCCUAGGGAGGCUCCCCAGCUGGAGAGACAGAUGCGCCAUCUCUAGGUGGGUCAGGUUCCAGCUGAGCACCUACUGUCACCUGGCCUGUGGGGGCCGGCGCGAAGGAGGAGAUGGUUCAGUACUGGCACAGCGCCUGGAUUGUUGAGGUGUGAAGUGGUGCUCACACCACAAGAAUCAGGCAGGACUGAGCUGCCCCGGGGGCAGAGGAGAUGCUCAUCUUGGCCUCACUCGGAGACACGGAUCACCCACUGCCUUCCCUAAGUGGUUUCACCCACGUUCCACAUGGUUCUGUGCUAAGUACCUCAUUCCCCCUCUGCUGAGAUUCGAAAGCUGCCCUGUUUGGUCCGCAGUGGACACAGGCAGCCUGGUCAAGAGGUACCAGCCAUCCAGAGAGAGAGAGAGACCCACAGCACUAGCCUUUUUCUGUGACCUCUUGCUAUUGCUAUUGGGGGAGGACGCAAACCGAUUUCUGGAAUCUGAGAAUACAGCGAGAUGAAGGGCAAAGCCAGAUGUUCCUAAGAAGGUCAUUUCUGAGCCCAUCCUGGGAACUAGAUCCAGAGACCUUCAUCAGGCCUGCCUCUGUGACCAGCUGGCAGUACCUUCUGGCUGCUGGCUGGAGAGGCGCCUGCCCUUUCGGAAGUCCCUCCCCCUGCCCGUGACUGCCAGCCUGCCUGGGCCAGCUGUGGCUUCUUGCAACUUUUGCAGCAUUCUUGGUUGUUUCCCUGGCAAUGUGACUGCCCCACUCUACCCCAACAAGGGAGCCCCCUACCCUGGGGAGAGUUGGCAACAAGAUCUCAUAGAUGCCCCUGUGGGUCGGGAGGAGGGACUCCAUCUCUCUCUCUCUCUCCUCUCUCUCUCUGUACUGGGAUGCUG